AUCCAGACCCUACGGGAGGCAGCAGUGGGGAAUAUUGCACAAUGGGGGGAACCCUGAUCCAGCGACGCCGCGUGAGUGAAGAAGUAUUUCGGUAUGUAAAGCUCUAUCAGCAGGGAAGAAAAUGACGGUACCUGACUAAGAAGCCCCGGCUAACUACGUGCCAGCAGCCGCGGUAAUACGUAGGGGGCAAGCGUUAUCCGGAUUUACUGGGUGUAAAGGGAGCGUAGACGGCUGUGCAAGCCAGAUGUGAAAGCCCGGGGCUCAACCCCGGGACUGCAUUUGGAACUGUGCGGCUGGAGUGCGGGAGGGGCAGGCGGAAUUCCUGGUGUAGCGGUGAAAUGCGUAGAUAUCAGGAGGAACACCGGCGGCGAAGGCGGCCUGCUGGACCGCGACUGACGUUGAGGCUCGAAAGCGUGGGGAGCGAACAGGAUUAGAUACCCGAGUA
RNAcentral lists this ribosomal RNA (445 nucleotides) under uncultured bacterium. RNAcentral describes it as "bacterial SSU rRNA". It matches the Rfam family "Bacterial small subunit ribosomal RNA", at positions 329 to 792 of the family's 1533-position model. The record is from RNAcentral.